GAGACUCUGUGCGCGUGCAUAUCAAUAAGCGGAGGAAAAGAAACUAACAAGGAUUCCCUUAGUAACGGCGAGUGAAGCGGGAAGAGCUCAAAUUUGAAAUCUUCAAGGUUCUACCUUGACGAAUUGUAGUUUAUAGAAGUGUUUCCUGUUAGUAGAGUGGCAAAAGUCCUUUGGAAUAGGACAUCAUAGAGGGUGAGAAUCCCGUAUUUGGUCAUUCUUUCUAGCUUUGUGAUACACUUUCAACGAGUCGGAUUGUUUGGGAAUGCAGUCCAAAAUGGGUGGUAGAUUUCAUCUAAAGCUAAAUAUUGGCGAGAGACCGAUAGCGAACAAGUACCGUGAGGGAAAGAUGGAAAGAACUUUGAAAAGAGAGUUAAACAGUACGUGAAAUUGUCAAAAGGGAAGCGUUUGACACCAGUGUUGUUUUUCCGAAAAUCAAUUACGAAUGUUUUGUUUUUGAGAAGUUAUGACUUCAUCGGCUUGCUUCUCUCUUUACGAAACUUUCUUAAUGCACUUUUCGGUUAACAAGUCAACAUCAAUUUCUUUUGUUGUAAAAGGGUAUGAGGAAGGUGGCUUUCUUUUCGGAGAAAGUGUUUAUAGCCUUGUAGCCUCUGCAAUCGGAGAGAUUGAGGUCUGCAGCGUAGAUCCUUCGGGGUUAGAUACAGUUUGUGCUAAGUUAUAGCUUUUCAUAGACAACUUGUUGACUAUGUUUAGUCUUGUAGCUUACUCGCUUAUGCUAUUAUACCUACGCUUAGGAUGUUGACGAUCAGCUGAGCGCG
This 776-nucleotide ribosomal RNA is filed under the name uncultured Neocallimastigales. Its description in RNAcentral is "partial large subunit ribosomal RNA". It matches the Rfam family "Eukaryotic large subunit ribosomal RNA", at positions 23 to 648 of the family's 3401-position model. The record is from RNAcentral. Lineage: Eukaryota; Fungi; Neocallimastigomycota; Neocallimastigomycetes; Neocallimastigales.